UACGGAGGAUGCGAGCGUUAUCCGGAUUUAUUGGGUUUAAAGGGUGCGUAGGCGGUUUUAUAAGUUAGAGGUGAAAUCUCGGGGCUCAACUCCGAAAUUGCCUCUAAUACUGUAGGACUAGAGAGUAGUUGCGGUAGGCGGAAUGCGUGGUGUAGCGGUGAAAUGCAUAGAUAUCACGCAGAACGCCGAUUGCGAAGGCAGCUUACCGGCGCUCAACUGACGCUGAGGCACGAAAGUGCGGGUAUCGAACAGG
This 253-nucleotide ribosomal RNA is filed under the name uncultured Rikenellaceae bacterium. RNAcentral's name for it is "partial 16S ribosomal RNA". It matches the Rfam family "Bacterial small subunit ribosomal RNA", at positions 524 to 776 of the family's 1533-position model. The record is from RNAcentral. Lineage: Bacteria; Pseudomonadati; Bacteroidota; Bacteroidia; Bacteroidales; Rikenellaceae.